Cordylochernes scorpioides is the source of this 89-nucleotide non-coding RNA. The record is from the annotation of a GenBank genome assembly. NCBI's taxonomy places the organism in Eukaryota, Metazoa, Arthropoda, Arachnida, Pseudoscorpiones, Chernetidae.
UAUCUUGAACCGGAUUUGAACCAGCGACUUAAAGGAUAGCCCGUUGACACAUCUAAAGUCCUCCGCUCUGCCAACUGAGCUAUUGAGAG